AUCCAGCUGAUGAGCCCUAAAUAGGGGACGAAACGCGCGUCCUGGAU
RNAcentral lists this non-coding RNA (47 nucleotides) under Schistosoma mansoni. Lineage: Eukaryota; Metazoa; Platyhelminthes; Trematoda; Strigeidida; Schistosomatidae. The record is from RNAcentral.